GAGUUUGAUCGUGGCUCAGAUUGAACGCUGGCGGCAUGCUUUACACAUGCAAGUCGAACGGCAGCACGGGGUUUACCCUGGUGGCGAGUGGCGAACGGGUGAGGAAUACAUCGGAACGUGUCUAUAAGUGGGGGAUAACGCAUCGAAAGGUGUGCUAAUACCGCAUAAUCUCUCAGGAGAAAAGCAGGGGAUCGCAAGACCUUGCGCUUUAGGAGCGGCCGAUGCCUGAUUAGCUUGUUGGUAAGGUAAAAGCUUACCAAGGCUUCGAUCAGUAGCUGGUCUGAGAGGACGACCAGCCACACUGGGACUGAGACACGGCCUAGACUCCUACGGGAGGUAGCAGUGGGGAAUUUUGGACAAUGGGGGAAACCCUGAUCCAGCCAUGCCGCGUGAGUGAAGAAGGCCUUCGGUUGUAAGCUCUUUCAGUCGGAACGAAACGGUUACGAUUAAUACUCGUAAUUAAUAGACGGUACCGG
RNAcentral lists this ribosomal RNA (476 nucleotides) under uncultured marine bacterium. RNAcentral's name for it is "bacterial SSU rRNA". It matches the Rfam family "Bacterial small subunit ribosomal RNA", at positions 9 to 481 of the family's 1533-position model. The record is from RNAcentral.